GAUUAGCCAUGCAUGUCUAAGUACAUGCCGUAUUAAGGCGAAACCGCGAAUGGCUCAUUAAAUCAGUCAUGGUUCCUUGGAUCGUACCUUACUACUUGGAUAACUGUGGCAAUUCUAGAGCUAAUACAUGCAGCAGAGCUCCGACCUUCGGGGACGAGCGCUUUUAUUAGACCAAAACCAAUCGGACCUCGUGUCCGUCCUUUGUGGUGACUCUGUAUAACUUUGGGCUGAUCGCACGGGCCUGUCCCGGCGACGUAUCUUUCAAGUGUCUGCCUUAUCAACUUUCGAUGGUAGGUUACGCGCCUACCAUGGUCGUAACGGGUAACGGGGAAUCAGGGUUCGAUUCCGGAGAGGGAGCCUGAGAAACGGCUACCACAUCCAAGGAAGGCAGCAGGCGCGCAAAUUACCCACUCCCAGAACGGGGAGGUAGUGACGAAAAAUAACAAUACGGGACUCUUUUGAGACCCCGUAAUUGGAAUGAGUACACUCUAAAUCCUUUAACGAGGAUCCAUUGGAGGGUAAGUCUGGUGCCAGCAACCGCGGUAAUUCCAGCUCCAAUAGCGUAUAUUAAAGUUGUUGCGGUUAAAAAGCUCGUAGUUGGAUCUCAGUUCCAGACGGGUGGUCCUCCUACCGGUGGCUACUGCCUGUUCUGAACAGUCAGCCGGUUUCUCUUGAUGAUCUUCACCGGUUGUCUUGGGUGACCGGCAAGUUUACUUUGAAAAAAUUAGAGUGCUCAAAGCAGGCGUGACGCCUGAAUAAUGGUGCAUGGAAUAAUGGAAUAGGACCUCGGUUCUAUUUUGUUGGUUUUCGGAACACGAGGUAAUGAUUAAGAGGGACAGACGGGGGCAUUCGUAUUGCGACGCUAGAGGUGAAAUUCUUGGACCGUCGCAAGACGAACUACUGCGAAAGCAUUUGCCAAGAAUGUUUCCAUUAAUCAAGAACGAAAGUUAGAGGUUCGAAGGCGAUCAGAUACCGCCCUAGUUCUAACCAUAAACGAUGCCAGCCAGCGAUCCGGCUGUGU
RNAcentral lists this ribosomal RNA (1021 nucleotides) under Pireneitega lini. Its description in RNAcentral is "SSU rRNA". It matches the Rfam family "Eukaryotic small subunit ribosomal RNA", at positions 42 to 1063 of the family's 1831-position model. The record is from RNAcentral. Lineage: Eukaryota; Metazoa; Arthropoda; Arachnida; Araneae; Agelenidae.